RNAcentral lists this transfer RNA (84 nucleotides) under Verrucomicrobiota bacterium. Its description in RNAcentral is "Verrucomicrobia bacterium (activated sludge metagenome) tRNA-Leu". It matches the Rfam family "tRNA". Rfam says of the family: Transfer RNA (tRNA) molecules are approximately 80 nucleotides in length. Their secondary structure includes four short double-helical elements and three loops (D, anti-codon, and T loops). Lineage: Bacteria; Pseudomonadati; Verrucomicrobiota. The record is from RNAcentral.
GCGGCUAUGGCGGAAUUGGUAGACGCGCUAGAUUCAGGUUCUAGUCGAGGUUACUCGGUGGAAGUUCAAAUCUUCUUAGCCGCA